This 480-nucleotide ribosomal RNA is filed under the name uncultured bacterium. Its description in RNAcentral is "bacterial SSU rRNA". It matches the Rfam family "Bacterial small subunit ribosomal RNA", at positions 30 to 506 of the family's 1533-position model. The record is from RNAcentral.
UUGAACGCUGGCGGCAUGCUUUACACAUGCAAGUCGAACGGUAACAGGCCUUCGGGUGCUGACGAGUGGCGAACGGGUGAGUAAUGCAUCGGAACGUGCCCAAUCGUGGGGGAUAACGUAGCGAAAGUUACGCUAAUACCGCAUACGCCCUGAGGGGGAAAGCAGGGGAUCUUCGGACCUUGUGCGAAUGGAGCGGCCGAUGUCAGAUUAGCUAGUUGGUGGGGUAAAGGCCUACCAAGGCGACGAUCUGUAGCGGGUCUGAGAGGAUGAUCCGCCACACUGGGACUGAGACACGGCCCAGACUCCUACGGGAGGCAGCAGUGGGGAAUUUUGGACAAUGGGCGAAAGCCUGAUCCAGCCAUGCCGCGUGCGGGAAGAAGGCCUUCGGGUUGUAAACCGCUUUCAGCCGGAAAGAAAUCGCCACUUCUAAUACGAGUGGUGGAUGACGGUACCGGAAGAAGAAGCACCGGCUAACUACGU